UUCCAGACUCCUACGGGAGGCAGCAGUGGGGAAUAUUGCACAAUGGGGGAAACCCUGAUGCAGCGACGCCGCGUGAGUGAGGAAGUAUUUCGGUAUGUAAAGCUCUAUCAGCAGGGAAGAAAAUGACGGUACCUGACUAAGAAGCCCCGGCUAACUACGUGCCAGCAGCCGCGGUAAUACGUAGGGGGCAAGCGUUAUCCGGAUUUACUGGGUGUAAAGGGAGCGUAGACGGAUAAGCAAGUCUGAUGUGAAAAUCCGGGGCCCAACCCCGGAAUUGCAUUGGAAACUGCAUAUCUAGAGUGUCGGAGAGGCAAGUGGAAUUCCUGGUGUAGCGGUGAAAUGCGUAGAUAUUAGGAGGAACACCGGUGGCGAAGGCGGCUUACUGGACUGUAACUGACGUUGAGGCUCGAAAGCGUGGGGAGCAAACAGGAUUAGAUACCCGGGUAAA
Molecule: ribosomal RNA, 448 nt
Filed under: uncultured bacterium
Lineage: Bacteria
Description: bacterial SSU rRNA
Rfam family: Bacterial small subunit ribosomal RNA
Source: RNAcentral